RNAcentral lists this ribosomal RNA (587 nucleotides) under uncultured bacterium. RNAcentral's name for it is "partial 16S ribosomal RNA". It matches the Rfam family "Bacterial small subunit ribosomal RNA", at positions 355 to 1376 of the family's 1533-position model. The record is from RNAcentral.
UGGGGAAUAUUGGACAAUGGGCGCAAGCCUGAUCCAGCCAUGCCGCGUGUGUGAAGAAGGCCUUAGGGUUGUAAAGCACUUUCAGUGGGGAGGAAGGGUGUUGUGUUAAUAGCACAGCAUUUUAACGUUACCCACAGAAGAAGCACCGGCUAACUCCGUGCCAGCAGCCGCGGUAAUACGGAGGGUGCAAGCGUUAAUCGGAAUUACUGGGCGUAAAGCGCACGCAGGCGGCUUUUUAAGUCGGAUGUGAAAGCCCCGGGCUCAACCUGGGAAUUGCAUCUGAUACUGGGAAGCUAGAGUAUGUGAGAGGGGGGUAGAAUUCCAAGUGUAGCGGUGAAAUGCGUAGAGAUUUGGAGGAAUACCAGUGGCGAAGGCGGCCCCCUGGCACAAUACUGACGCUCAGGUGCGAAAGCGUGGGGAGCAAAACAGGAUUAGAUACCCUGGUAGUCCACGCCGUAAACGAUGUCUACUAGAUGUUCGUGGUCUUGUACCGUGAGUAUCGCAGCUAACGCAUUAAGUAGACCGCCUGGGGAGUACGGUCGCAAGAUUAAAACUCAAAUGAAUUGACGGGGUCAUAGUGUUUCCUG